UGCUGCAGUAUCUGAGGCUUUCUUGUUUGCUUUUCAGUGCUGGCAUGACUUCAUCUUCAGAGGUGGAAGAGCAAGAGUUUGACACCUGGGAUCAGCCACCUAACUCAACAUCUUCAGUGGAUGCCUCCUUGUAUUUACUCAUGACUGAGAAGACUGAAUUUAAUACUUGCGAAUAUAAGACAAACCAACCAAAAAAGGGCAGAACACCUUCUAAAUGAUGUAGAAAUAAAGACAUACAAAUAACAAGAAAAUCGAAGGAUUAACUCACCUAUAAUGAAAAAUUCCUCCCUGGGAUUCUCAUCAUCAUUUUCCAGAAUUUCAAAUGCACACAGUGAAUUUUGAAUGUGGAAGGAAAAUAUAAAAGGCCUGGAAAAUGUACGUGAAUCAACCUUAAAAUCACUGUAUAUUUUUGACAAAUUUUGUGUCAAGUCUUAGACUGACAAUGAAGUAGAUGUCCAUGAAAGUCCUGAAAAGUUAGCUGAAGUAUGCCUUGCUUUGUUCAUGUUCACUACCCAUGGCAACCGUGCACUCCGUGCAGAAGACAGCAUCCAGCUAACAGGGAUAUCUGGCCCAGAACAUUUUGUGUACGGCACAGGGGCACUGUGUAAAACCUGCCUACCAUCUUCUCUGAGUUGCCCUAGAAGACUCCUCCUUUGCACUAGCCACCAGAAAUUUGCAAACAAAAUUUCCUUUUGCUGGUUCCUCUUCCUGAGCAUAUUUGUGGCUAUCUGCACGCACAACAUAAGAUGAAUCUGACUUACAUUGCUACAACACAAUGCAUGUUGCUGACAUUUGUUACUACUUUUGAGAAAACGAACAAGGCAAUAUGCUGCUUAUUACCACGAGUUGGGUUCACAAUUGUUAGUACUCUAGCUAUCGAUAAGGGCAGAGAGGAUGGGGGUCCUAUGUCUGUCAUGCUCUUGUUCAACUUAUUAUCAGGAUGCUGUUAUUUCAAGAUGCCUGCUAUGAGCGGCAGUGAGUAAAGACUGCAACGCUGGUGAGAAGUGCAAUACCAUGAAGCCGCCUUUCAGCAAGAUCCACCAAGCAGCUGCUACAGACAUUAAAAUUAGUAACAGGAAGCAGCAACACACAAGUUAAGAUGGGCACAAGCUGAGGCAGCAAGCAGGCCUUUUCAAAGCAGUGUAUUUGGUAUGUAAUCGAGGUUUGCUAGGUGUGCUGCAAACUCAGGAAAUGCAAUUUGCACCUCCUUGUGCCAGAAACUGAAUGAGUCAGAUCCUUAAAGCUUCAAUUUUAGCUUUCCUUCGGCCUCCUCAUUGUUCUGACUAAUGUGAUGUUAUCAGAGCCAGCUAACUACAGUAGAAAAUGGCUGCACACACCGCAUACCCUCAAGGCUACAGCACAGCCAGGCUGGUGUCAGAGCCUGAACACCCACAGAUUGCUGUGGAGCAGCUGCAGGACACUCCAGCUAACUGUAAGCAAGUAAGUUAUUAACUGCACCAAAAACACACACGCAGUGAAAAAUGUGAACACACUACUGCUAUCAAAGCAUCAGAAGUCAUUAGCACCUCAAUUUUUAGGCAUUAAUUUGAUACAUCUUAAAGAGGCCAGAAGUUCAGAAAGAACUGCACAGGUAUUAAAAAGCUAGUAACUACCCAAAACAGGAGACCUGAAACAGCCAGCAAUUCAACAUGCAGACCUAGCUCUCUAAACAUAACAAACAAACAAAAAUAUCCAGAAAAAUAUUCUGUAUCAUUAGAGGCCUAAGUGCAUGCACUGCAGGACAAGUGUCACACGUUAACUGGUCCUGGACUGUACAAUAGCCAAUAACAAAACCUUUGUCUUUCAUGAAAGCUUCUGAGGAUUUACUGGAUGUUUUCAUCAUUAGCGUAUACAAGAAUCCAGGCUUCUUUCCAACUUAUCCCAUUAUUUACUGUAAAUAAAGCAUUUCACAAAGUAUUUUCUGUCAGUGGGUAGGAUAUUUGUUUUUGUUUCUAAGUGAACUUAAAAUAAUUUAAUGUUUGAAAGAUUU
This is a long non-coding RNA of Numida meleagris (helmeted guineafowl), 1990 nucleotides long. RefSeq lists it as uncharacterized. The record is from RefSeq and is a predicted model, not a curated record. Lineage: Eukaryota; Metazoa; Chordata; Aves; Galliformes; Numididae. The transcript is spliced from 3 exons.